UCCGGCUUAUCACCGGCAGUUUCUUUAGAGUGCCCAACUAAAUGGUGGCAACUAAAAAUAAGGGUUGCGCUCGUUGCGGGACUUAACCCAACACCUCACGGCACGAGCUGACGACAGCCAUGCAGCACCUGUGUUACGGCUCUCUUUCGAGCACCCCCACCUUUCAGCAGGGUUCCGUACAUGUCAAGGGUAGGUAAGGUUUUUCGCGUUGCAUCGAAUUAAUCCACAUCAUCCACCGCUUGUGCGGGUCCCCGUCAAUUCCUUUGAGUUUUAAUCUUGCGACCGUACUCCCCAGGCGGAUGACUUAACGCGUUAGCUGCGCCACCGAAACGCUAAGCGCCCCGACAGCUAGUCAUCAUCGUUUACGGCGUGGACUAC
This 378-nucleotide unclassified non-coding RNA is filed under the name uncultured Pseudomonadota bacterium. RNAcentral describes it as "uncultured proteobacterium contains 16S-23S intergenic spacer region". Lineage: Bacteria; Pseudomonadati; Pseudomonadota. The record is from RNAcentral.